RNAcentral lists this ribosomal RNA (2892 nucleotides) under Acinetobacter baumannii. RNAcentral's name for it is "23S ribosomal RNA". It matches the Rfam family "Bacterial large subunit ribosomal RNA". Lineage: Bacteria; Pseudomonadati; Pseudomonadota; Gammaproteobacteria; Moraxellales; Moraxellaceae. The record is from RNAcentral.
AGUCAAGUAAUUAAGUGCAUGUGGUGGAUGCCUUGGCAGUCAGAGGCGAUGAAAGACGUGAUAGCCUGCGAAAAGCUCCGGGGAGGCGGCAAAUAUCCUUUGAUCCGGAGAUGUCUGAAUGGGGGAACCCACCUACUUUAAGGUAGGUAUUGCAACAUGAAUACAUAGUGUUGCAAGGCGAACGAGGGGAAGUGAAACAUCUCAGUACCCUUAGGAAAAGAAAUCAAUUGAGAUUCCCUCAGUAGCGGCGAGCGAACGGGGAUCAGCCCAUUAAGUUAUGUGUGUUUUAGUGGAACGCUCUGGGAAGUGCGAACGUAGAGGGUGAUAUUCCCGUACACGAAAGGGCACACAUAAUGAUGACGAGUAGGGCGAGGCACGUGAAACCUUGUCUGAAUAUGGGGGGACCAUCCUCCAAGGCUAAAUACUCCUGACUGACCGAUAGUGAACCAGUACCGUGAGGGAAAGGCGAAAAGAACCCCUGUGAGGGGAGUGAAAUAGAUCCUGAAACCGCAUGCAUACAAGCAGUGGGAGCACCUUCGUGGUGUGACUGCGUACCUUUUGUAUAAUGGGUCAGCGACUUAUAUUCAGUAGCGAGGUUAACCGUAUAGGGGAGCCGUAGAGAAAUCGAGUCUUAAUAGGGCGUUUAGUUGCUGGGUAUAGACCCGAAACCAGGCGAUCUAUCCAUGAGCAGGUUGAAGGUUGGGUAACACUAACUGGAGGACCGAACCCACUGUCGUUGAAAAGCCAGGGGAUGACUUGUGGAUAGGGGUGAAAGGCUAAUCAAGCCUGGUGAUAGCUGGUUCUCCCCGAAAGCUAUUUAGGUAGCGCCUCGGACGAAUACCAUAGGGGGUAGAGCACUGUUUCGGCUAGGGGGUCAUCCCGACUUACCAAACCGAUGCAAACUCCGAAUACCUAUGAGUACUAUCCGGGAGACAGACUGCGGGUGCUAACGUCCGUAGUCAAGAGGAAAACAAUCCAGACCGCCAGCUAAGGCCCCAAAAUCAUAGUUAAGUGGGAAACGAUGUGGGAAGGCAUAGACAGCUAGGAGGUUGGCUUAGAAGCAGCCACCCUUUAAAGAAAGCGUAAUAGCUCACUAGUCGAGUCGGCCUGCGCGGAAGAUGUAACGGGGCUAAAACUAUGUGCCGAAGCUGCGGAUGUUACAUUGUAUACGUGGUAGGGGAGCGUUCUGUAAGCCGAUGAAGGUGUGUUGAGAAGCAUGCUGGAGGUAUCAGAAGUGCGAAUGCUGACGUGAGUAACGACAAAACGGGUGAAAAACCCGUUCGCCGAAAGACCAAGGGUUCCAGUCCAACGUUAAUCGGGGCUGGGUGAGUCGACCCCUAAGGCGAGGCCGAAAGGCGUAGUCGAUGGGAAAAUGGUUAAUAUUCCAUUACUUCUGUGUAAUGCGAUGAGAGGACGGAGAAGGCUAAAUCAGCCUGGCGUUGGUUGUCCAGGUGAAAGGAUGUAGGCAUGUAUCUUAGGCAAAUCCGGGGUACUCUAUGCUGAGAUCUGAUAGCAAGCUGUACUUGUACAGCGAAGUGGUUGAUGCCAUGCUUCCAGGAAAAGUCUCUAAGCUUCAGUUACACAGGAAUCGUACCCGAAACCGACACAGGUGGUCAGGUCGAGUAGACCAAGGCGCUUGAGAGAACUCUGCUGAAGGAACUAGGCAAAAUGGUACCGUAACUUCGGGAGAAGGUACGCUGUUGUUGGUGAUGGAACUCGCUUCCUGAGCUGACGACAGCCGCAGAAACCAGGCCGCUGCAACUGUUUAUUAAAAACAUAGCACUCUGCAAACACGAAAGUGGACGUAUAGGGUGUGAUGCCUGCCCGGUGCUGGAAGGUUAAUUGAUGGGGUUAGCGUAAGCGAAGCUCUUGAUCGAAGCCCCAGUAAACGGCGGCCGUAACUAUAACGGUCCUAAGGUAGCGAAAUUCCUUGUCGGGUAAGUUCCGACCUGCACGAAUGGCAUAAUGAUGGCGGCGCUGUCUCCAGCAGAGGCUCAGUGAAAUCGAAAUCGCUGUGAAGAUGCAGUGUACCCGCGGCUAGACGGAAAGACCCCGUGAACCUUUACUGCAGCUUGACACUGAACUUUGACCUUACUUGUGUAGGAUAGGUGGGAGGCUUUGAAGCUGGAACGCUAGUUCCAGUGGAGCCGUCCUUGAAAUACCACCCUGGUAAUGUUGAGGUUCUAACUCUGUCCCGUGAUCCGGGACGAGGACCGUGUCUGGUGGGUAGUUUGACUGGGGCGGUCUCCUCCUAAAGAGUAACGGAGGAGUACGAAGGUGCGCUCAGCGUGGUCGGAAAUCACGCGUAGAGUAUAAAGGCAAAAGCGCGCUUAACUGCGAGACCCACAAGUCGAGCAGGUACGAAAGUAGGUCUUAGUGAUCCGGUGGUUCUGUAUGGAAGGGCCAUCGCUCAACGGAUAAAAGGUACUCUGGGGAUAACAGGCUGAUACCGCCCAAGAGUUCAUAUCGACGGCGGUGUUUGGCACCUCGAUGUCGGCUCAUCUCAUCCUGGGGCUGAAGCAGGUCCCAAGGGUAUGGCUGUUCGCCAUUUAAAGAGGUACGCGAGCUGGGUUUAGAACGUCGUGAGACAGUUCGGUCCCUAUCUACCGUGGGCGCUGGAAAUUUGAGAGGAUCUGCUCCUAGUACGAGAGGACCAGAGUGGACGAACCUCUGGUGUACCGGUUGUGACGCCAGUCGCAUCGCCGGGUAGCUAUGUUCGGAAGGGAUAACCGCUGAAAGCAUCUAAGCGGGAAGCCUACCUCAAGAUAAGAUUUCCCUAGGACUUUAUGUCCUCUAAAGAGCCGUUCGAGACUAGGACGUUGAUAGGUUGGAUGUGGAAGCAUAGUGAUAUGUGAAGCUGACCAAUACUAAUUGCUCGUGAGGCUUGACUAU